Molecule: unclassified non-coding RNA, 356 nt
Filed under: soil metagenome
Description: partial contains 5.8S ribosomal RNA, internal transcribed spacer 2, and large subunit ribosomal RNA
Rfam family: 5.8S ribosomal RNA (bases 1-120)
Source: RNAcentral
GAUGAAGAACGUAGUGAAAUGCGAUAAGUAAUGUGAAUUGCAGAAUUCAGUGAAUCAUCGAAUCUUUGAACGCACAUUGCGCCCGUUAGCAUUCUAGCGGGCAUGCCUGUCCGAGCGUCAUUUCAACCCUCAGGGUCCCCGUCCGGCGGGGAACCUGGUGUUGGGGAUCGGCCCGCCCCGCGCGGCGCCGUCCCCCAAAUUCAGUGGCGGUCUCGCUGCAGCCUCCCCUGCGUAGUAGUUACAACCUCGCAUCGGAGCUCAGCGCGGCCACGCCGUAAAACCCCCGACUUUCUGAACGUUGACCUCGGAUCAGGUAGGAAUACCCGCUGAACUUAAGCAUAUCAAUAAGCGGAGGA